RNAcentral lists this ribosomal RNA (513 nucleotides) under uncultured bacterium. RNAcentral describes it as "bacterial SSU rRNA". It matches the Rfam family "Bacterial small subunit ribosomal RNA", at positions 1 to 524 of the family's 1533-position model. The record is from RNAcentral.
CUCGAGGCCAGAUCUAGAGUUUGAUCCUGGCUGAGGAUGAACGCUAGCGGUGUGCCUAAUGCAUGCAAGUCGAACGGGAUCCUUUGAUUCGUCGAAGGUGAGAGUGGCGAACGGGUGAGUAACACGUAGGUGACCUGCCCCAGAGAGGGGGAUAACCAGUGGAAACGCUGGCUAAUACCCCGGAUGUCUGCAACCUUAGAAAUUGUAGACUGAAGCUCCGGCGCUCUGGGAGGGGCCUGCGUCCCAUCAGCUAGUUGGUAGGGUAAUGGCCUACCAAGGCGAAGACGGGUAGGGGGCGUGAGAGCGUGACCCCCCACACUGGUACUGACACACGGACCAGAUACCUACGGGUAGCAGCAGCAAGGAAUAUUGCGCAAUGGGCGAAAGCCUGACGCAGCAACACCGCGUGGAGGAUGAAGGCCUUCGGGUCGUAAACUCCUUUUCUGGGGGCUGAGAAAGGACAGUACCCCAGGAAUAAGCCUCGGCUAACUACGUGCCAGCAGCCGCGGUAAA